Molecule: ribosomal RNA, 497 nt
Filed under: uncultured bacterium
Lineage: Bacteria
Description: partial 16S ribosomal RNA
Rfam family: Bacterial small subunit ribosomal RNA
Source: RNAcentral
GAUGAACGCUGGCGGCGUGCCUAACACAUGCAAGUCGAGCGAACGGACGAGAAUCUUGCUUCUCUGAUGUUAGCGGCGGACGGGUGAGUAACACGUGGAUAACCUACCUAUAAGACUGGGAUAACUUCGGGAAACCGGAGCUAAUACCGGAUAAUAUUUUGAACCGCAUGGUUCAAAAGUGAAUGACGGUCUUGCUGUCACUUAUAGAGGGAUCCGCGCUGCAUUAGCUAGUUGGUAAGGUAACGGCUUACCAAGGCAACGAUGCAUAGCCGACCUGAGAGGAGGAUCGGCCACACUGGAACUGAGACACGGUCCAGACUCCUACGGGAGGCAGCAGUGGGGAAUCUUGGGCAAUGGGCGAAAGCCUGACGGAGCAACGCCGCGUGGGUGAUGAAGGUCUUCGGAUCGUAAAACUCUGUUAUUAGGGAAGAACGUUUGUCUGAGUAACUGUGCAGUUUUUGACGGUACCUAGUCAAAAAGCACCGGCUAACUACGUG